AACGCGCCCUAAAGCUAUCCAAUUUCAACAGUUAAAAUAAGUAAUACCUAUCUUAGUAAUACAUAUUAAAACCAUCAAAACUAAUUAAGCGGCCUUAUUACAUUUAAAAACCCAAACCUCAACGUAAAUAAUAGAAUGUCCAGUUCACCAGAAGAAAACCAAACUUUCAGAACGGGUGGCCACUCCGAAUUCCCUCACAGCUCCAAGCCCACUAUGGUUGGGGAUUUCCUGCGUGGAUGAAAAUAAAAGGAUGAGUUUGGGGAAACUCAGUGUGUAAGGAAAACCUAUUCAAAGCCCAAGUCAGCUCAAGCCUAUUGGGCCUAAGCCCAUUCAGGUAACAGUGGUACUGGACCAGAGCCCUUUUCAGAUUACAAUAAACUGGGCCUUAGCCCCUUAUUCAGAUAACAGUAUGGCCCAUAGGCCCAUUUCAAAAUACAUGCAACAUCAAUAACAUAUGCAAGCCCAUUUGGGGAGACUACUACACUCCACCCGUACCAGCUCUACACUCCAUGUGGGGAAUAGCUCAACCCACCCAGCCCAACACUCCACAGUUGCAGCCUUGCUGCUCAGUUAACAGUAAAUUGAGGCAAAGCCUCCAGUACGUGGACAAGCCACUUCCAGUACUUCCUCCGUCAAUAUCCCAAUCCCAUGCAUCAGAUAAUAACAACAUGGCAUGCAGUAAAUAACAACUGUCAAACAUGCAUUUAGGUCAAUUUAACCCUAGGGGUAUUUCGGUAAUUUAUCUACUAGGGGUAAAACUGUAAAUUUUCCACUUUUAAAGGUAUUUCAGUAAUUUAUCUAUUUUAGGGUUUUUCAUGCAUAUUCCUACUUUUCACGUAGUAACAGAAUCACGUAUCGAGGGUUCUUACCGAAUUGGGCCUAUUGGCCCAUCAUUCCAAUUUUGGCCCAUUAAGCCCAAAAAUAUCGAGGGCACAGAAAUCAUGCACUUUGCAGUCCAAAUUUUGCAGCUUACCAAAAACAUUAAUCGAUUUACCUUACGAGCAUUCGCACACUCGUAAAUCUACAAAAUACCAGUUUUCGGCUUUUCGACUUUUGCCGAUCCAGACUAAGAAAGGGGGUGUUAGUUACACACCUGUUUGCGACGAUAUGCUGACGAGAUCCACACA
This 1127-nucleotide long non-coding RNA is filed under the name Gossypium barbadense (sea-island cotton). Its description in RNAcentral is "long non-coding RNA (GBAR_LNC003102)". The record is from RNAcentral. Lineage: Eukaryota; Viridiplantae; Streptophyta; Magnoliopsida; Malvales; Malvaceae.